This is a long non-coding RNA of Astatotilapia calliptera (eastern happy), 1663 nucleotides long. Lineage: Eukaryota; Metazoa; Chordata; Actinopteri; Cichliformes; Cichlidae. The record is from Ensembl.
GUUUCUUUGUCACAUGUUUGUAUGUUAAUACCAUUUAUUCCUUUGUUAAAAAAAUACACUUAAUAAUUCAGGGAUGUAGACAUGACAAUGGAAAAACAGUAAAUGUGUCAUAUACAUACUGUUUUUGCACAUCCAUGUUUAUUUAAGCCAAAUUUAACUGAAAUCUACCGAAUAAGCUUUGAGAGAAUAAAUUAAUAAUACCUCCAGUAAUUGUCCCAUUGCUUUUUUGCUUAUCAGCAUCUGGUAGCUCUACAUUGGAGACAUAUCCACCUGACAUGAAAGAACAUAAAAGAAGUUAUACAUAUGUACAAAAUUAGGUGCAUAAGUGUUGGUUAUAAUUAUAGAUGAACUGAAAGAACACAUGAUGAGAAAAAACCUAAAAAAAAACAAAAAAAACAAAUAGAUUUUCAGCUUACAAUUAAAAUAAAUAAGUGACUCGGCCAAAUGGAAAGGCUCAAACAACCAAACCAAAAAUUUCAAGAUUUGGAAACAGACCUGGGAAUUUUAAUAAACAGCAACCGCUGGACAUAUAUAAGCAAUAACAUAUUAUAGUGUCCUGAGGAAUCAGUAACAAAAGAACUCACAGAAAGACUUAUACUGUACUUGAGAUGUCACUUCAACCCUUACACAGCCACAAGCUGAUGCCAUCCAGACCUCUUGCAACACCUGUUUCCGUUCUCAUUUCUGCUCUCUACUUCCUAUAUUUCUCUCCACAGUGGCUUCCUUCUGCAUGCUACACCUUGCUGUAUUUAGAUCAGCUUUACUUUUGGCUGGCAGAUACCAACCAGAGUCCUGUUUUUCAGCCCAGCGUCCUAUUUCCUUUGACCAAUCCAGUUGAUUAGUAUUGCGUUGCUAAUACAAAUAAACAGUUGACUAGGUGUCCGUCUGUCUGUUUUGUGCCAUAGUGUCUGCAAACUGUUUCAUCCGGAAAUAUUUAGUUGUGUUUUACUCAAUAUUCUUCAACCAGAUAGAUAAACUAGAUCAAAUCUAUAUUACAACUGUUAAAUAUUUUGACUGGUUCAGUUAGUAAAAUAUAAGAUCUCAUACCAGUUUAAACAACUGAAGUCCUUCAAUUCAGAUUUCCAAAAGAGUAAAUACAUAAAAUCUUGUCUGAAUUCUGUUAAUGAAGGCAAAAUUAAAAAAAACAAACAUUGGUGUAAAAAAAAAAAAAAAAAAAAAAAAUGCAUUUAAUUGCACUUUACAUGCUAUGGAAGCCCGUUUCCACCACUAAAUAAAAAUCAAAAAAAAAAAAUCCUUAACUCAAUUUUGUAUUAACACUGCAAAUCAGUAAUCUACGUGAAUUGCGUCAUUUCCUUUUUACCCAGACGCUGAAGCCCUCAGUUACAAAUGCUACAGCUAAGCUACCAGCAUUACAGCCAGUCAUGAAUGCACAAAUUGCUGAGUAUUUUCAGUGUGACCUUCACAAAUGAUGAAAUCCUUGUGUUAUUAGCUGACUCACAUGGUGUUACUAUCAGCAAACAUACUAUUGAAAGCACCAAUUUGUUGCUAUACAUUGGUAGCUCACAAUCUGGCUUUGAGUGCACAUUCCUCUGUGCCAGAUCCUUCCGUCUAACAAGAAAAUUAUGUCAUUCACAUAGAUUACUGACUGGCAGAGCUAACUUGAAAUUUUGAGUUAUUAACUCAAAAUUUUGAGAAAAGUAAC